AUUGACUUAGAGGAGCCUCAUUGUUAACUGUUACUAUCAUAGUCUGUAGGUUUAAAUUGCUUGGGUCAACUUAGUUGUUUUAUUUGAAUUUGAGAGGUUUUUUUACGAAUCUAGCUUGUUUUCCUCCUAAAGUGUAACGGAUUGAUGCAUCUCCACAGAUCAUCUAUAAGGAUCAUCAUAGUUUGACAAAAUAGGGGCCCCCAAACAGCAUCUUGCAUAGGGCCUGCCAAAAGCUAGAAACGGGCCUGGCUGCAGGAACC
This is a long non-coding RNA of Etheostoma spectabile (orangethroat darter), 260 nucleotides long. RefSeq lists it as uncharacterized. Lineage: Eukaryota; Metazoa; Chordata; Actinopteri; Perciformes; Percidae. The transcript has 3 exons. The record is from RefSeq and is a predicted model, not a curated record.